UACGGAGGGUGCGAGCGUUAAUCGGAAUCACUGGGCGUAAAGCGCGCGUAGGCGGCUUUUCAAGUCAGGGGUGAAAUCCCACGGCCCAACCGUGGAACUGCCUUUGAAACUGUAGAGCUUGAGUGUCGGAGAGGGUGGCGGAAUUCCAGGUGUAGGAGUGAAAUCCGUAGAUAUAUGGAGGAACACCGGUGGCGAAAGCGGCUCUCUGGCCUGUAACUGACACUGAGGCUCGAAAGCGUGGGGAGCAAACAGG
Molecule: ribosomal RNA, 253 nt
Filed under: uncultured bacterium
Lineage: Bacteria
Description: partial 16S ribosomal RNA
Rfam family: Bacterial small subunit ribosomal RNA
Source: RNAcentral